This is a long non-coding RNA of Gambusia affinis (western mosquitofish), 646 nucleotides long. RefSeq lists it as uncharacterized. The transcript has 3 exons. NCBI's taxonomy places the organism in Eukaryota, Metazoa, Chordata, Actinopteri, Cyprinodontiformes, Poeciliidae. The record is from RefSeq and is a predicted model, not a curated record.
ACCCAGGGUAAAAGAUUGCCCCUAAUCCCGCCUUUCCUGCUCCAUUGGUUAGAGUGACAGUCAGUCACACAGUGCAUUCAGCCAAUCACUGCAUUUUGAGUGGUUAAUCAGGCCUGCUCCAGCUUUCCCUGUCAGGUGUGAGGGGGAGAGCUGGAGACAAAGGAGCUACAGAUCUGAACAUCCAGUGAGCUUGGAGCCGUGAAGUUGUCAUGCACUGAACUAUAUAUGGAAUUGGCCAGGUGAUCCCUUGGUAGGGUCAAAGGAUGGCGAGCUUCUGACAACUGGCUGGAGCCAGGAGAACCUUAAAACUCACUCUAUACUGGUCUGGUAGGAGUCUGAUGGUCCACAACAUUUCCCCCUCCAUCUCAUUAUAAAGACACACAAUUCAUUAUUCAACCCUUCUCUGGUGGAAACAAAUUGCGCUUGGACAUUUUCAUCUCAAACAAUUGGACAAUUAAAUUAUGGACUUUUAAAUGUGUGUCAGUCAGACAAUGUGCUGACUACUGGGGAAAGAUAGGACUCUUUGUGCACAUUUAUAUACAAGAUUUACUGCAGUAUUGUGUAUGUAUAUAUUUAUUGUCUUUAUUUUUUUGUUUUUCAUGUAUGUUUGUGUCUUGUGGUGUUCACUUAUUUUUCCUUCUCUAAA